UACGGAGGAUGCGAGCGUUAAUCGGAAUUACUGGGCGUAAAGAGUGCGUAGGUGGUUGAAUAAGUUAUCUGUGAAAUCCCUGGGCUUAACCUGGGCAGGUCAGAUAAUACUGUUUGACUCGAGUAUGGGAGAGGGUAGUGGAAUUUCCGGUGUAGCGGUGAAAUGCGUAGAGAUCGGAAGGAACACCAGUGGCGAAGGCGGCUACCUGGCCUAAUACUGACACUGAGGCACGAAAGCGUGGGGAGCAAAUGGG
RNAcentral lists this ribosomal RNA (253 nucleotides) under uncultured bacterium. Its description in RNAcentral is "partial 16S ribosomal RNA". It matches the Rfam family "Bacterial small subunit ribosomal RNA", at positions 524 to 776 of the family's 1533-position model. The record is from RNAcentral.